RNAcentral lists this ribosomal RNA (630 nucleotides) under Bacillus sp. (in: firmicutes). RNAcentral's name for it is "bacterial SSU rRNA". It matches the Rfam family "Bacterial small subunit ribosomal RNA", at positions 51 to 662 of the family's 1533-position model. Lineage: Bacteria; Bacillati; Bacillota; Bacilli; Caryophanales; Bacillaceae. The record is from RNAcentral.
AUACAUGCAAGUCGAGCGGACCGACGGGAGCUUGCUCCCUUAGGUCAGCGGCGGACGGGUGAGUAACACGUGGGUAACCUGCCUGUAAGACUGGGAUAACUCCGGGAAACCGGGGCUAAUACCGGAUGCUUGAUUGAACCGCAUGGUUCAAUCAUAAAAGGCGGCUUCGGCUGCCGUUUACAGAUGGACCCGCGGCGCAUUAGCUAGUUGGUGAGGUAACGGCUCACCAAGGCGACGAUGCGUAGCCGACCUGAGAGGGUGAUCGGCCACACUGGGACUGAGACACGGCCCAGACUCCUACGGGAGGCAGCAGUAGGGAAUCUUCCGCAAUGGACGAAAGUCUGACGGAGCAACGCCGCGUGAGUGAUGAAGGUUUUCGGAUCGUAAAGCUCUGUUGUUAGGGAAGAACAAGUACCGUUCGAAUAGGGCGGUACCUUGACGGUACCUAACCAGAAAGCCACGGCUAACUACGUGCCAGCAGCCGCGGUAAUACGUAGGUGGCAAGCGUUGUCCGGAAUUAUUGGGCGUAAAGCGCGCGCAGGCGGUUUUCUUAAGUCUGAUGUGAAAGCCCCCGGCUCAACCGGGGAGGGUCAUUGGAAACUGGGGAACUUGAGUGCAGAAGAGGAGAGU